Long non-coding RNA from Hyaena hyaena (striped hyena), 253 nucleotides. RefSeq lists it as uncharacterized. NCBI's taxonomy places the organism in Eukaryota, Metazoa, Chordata, Mammalia, Carnivora, Hyaenidae. The record is from RefSeq and is a predicted model, not a curated record. The transcript is spliced from 3 exons.
AGGACAAGAUAGUUACCCACAACUCUACUGGAAACGAGGCUCACCCAAAGCAGGGAUACUACAAAAAGAACAAGGCAGGGAAUUCUUCAUUCAAACUCAUCAGAGAAAUGGACAGCUUGGAUCUAUAACGAAGCACUGUAUUUCAAAACAUAGGUCAGUAAUUGUAUAUGAGAAUAUACACUGCCACAUAAAAAUUAACUGACCAGAGCACUUUUCAAUAUUCAAAACAAAAUAAGCUCCCCUAUAAAAGUAG